UGCCAGUGUGGACAUUCAAACUGCUUCGCUGCUGCAAAAAACCAUAUCCAGUGAAUGCAAAGGAAUGACGGUGGUCACAAUUGCUCACUGGAUUUCAACUGUCAUAAAUAUGGACAACAUUUUAAUUCUUGAUCAUGGAAACCUGGCUGAACAAGGAAAUCCACAGAUUCUUCUGAAGGAUUGCACCUCUAUAUUUUAUAGUUUUGUUAAAGCUUCAUCUCUGUAACCAUGGAAGGCAUCUAUGGUUGAGUCUGGGAUGCCGUUGAUCUUUAGCUAUACGGAUGUCAAAUUGCAUUACUAGUAAAGAGGUGUAAGACAUGAUAUUUAUAAGUAGUUUUGGAUAUUUUGUUUGUUGAUCAACUUAAACUAGGAAAUAUCAACUAGCUUGUAUAUAUCUGCGAUAUUAGGACCAUAGAUAAUGCUAAUGCUCUGCAAAUUAUGUCCUGAUCAUCUUUAACUUUUCAUAGAAGUUAUAAAUCUAUAAUCCAUUCCAUGAAAAUAUGAGGAACACAAUUUUUUCCAUACCCUUCAAUUGAUUGUGUAUUUCAGAAAAGCUCGCCACAUUAAUCUUAAAUUCACAUAUUAUUAAGACUCCUUUCCUAAACAGUGCAAUUCAUUUGAAUUUAAAUUAAAAGGAGGGAGUGAUAUAAUAUUCAGAUUAGGUUAAUUUUUCUCUAGUGAAACAUG
Long non-coding RNA from Vicia villosa (hairy vetch), 687 nucleotides. RefSeq lists it as uncharacterized. Lineage: Eukaryota; Viridiplantae; Streptophyta; Magnoliopsida; Fabales; Fabaceae. The record is from RefSeq and is a predicted model, not a curated record. The transcript has 2 exons.